Molecule: non-coding RNA, 227 nt
Organism: Triticum urartu
Lineage: Eukaryota; Viridiplantae; Streptophyta; Magnoliopsida; Poales; Poaceae
Source: RefSeq, a predicted model, not a curated record
CUGACACAACAUGAAGGUUGGUGAUCUUAUGAAUUCUGCUAUUAUGGGAAAAUCCGAGAGGUUCAUGUAGAGAAUGAGAAGGUUAUCCAAGAGUAUGUUCUAGGUGGAUAUGACCCUGAUGCAACCGAUGCUUACCAUGACAAUCACACCUCCGAGUCUGCUGAUGAGGAUCACGUGAAAGAUACUUGUAAGAGAAAGCACCUGGGAUAUACUAAGCAGAGUGGUGC